GAAGGAUUGGGGAGCGGGAGGAGGGGAAUCCUGCAGCGGGAGAGGCCGCAGCUGUGCACAAGGAGUGAAGAAGGCAAACACUUGGCAGAGACUCCUGGCCCCAGGUCUCCUCCCGCCUCCACUUCAAACACUUGGCAGAGACUCCUGGCCCCAGGUCUCCUCCUGCCUCCACUUCCAGCUGCAGGGAAGCUGCCAGGAUGCAGGCCCCACAGUGAUGAGGGUGAUUAUGACUGCUUCUGUGACAUGUAAGGCACAAAAAUUAGCAUGUGAGGUCGGACACGAGAGAAACCAAGGGCACUGGACUAUCUGGAGGAUGUUUUAAGGUCACAGGCUUAGGAUGUUAAAGACUCAAGAUGACAUUAUUCCUACCUCAAAAUAACAACAGCUUCUACAUUGCACACCCACUGGCUACCAACCUUCCAUUAACAUGCAGGCUGCCUCAAACAUACAAGACAACAGCUGCACCUCCAGCAUUGCAUCUGCAUUCUCCACAGAGGACAGAAAAGGGCAAAGGCAAGGGCCGGCCAAACGUGUUCCCGUGAAAGGGCCUUUCUCAGGGUUCACAGAGGCACUUUCAUUGGCACCCCCUGGCAAGGACUGGGUCAUGUGACCACACAGCGAUAAGAGAACUGGGACGAGGCACCGUUUUUCACCCCAUUUCUUUUAUUUUGCUUGUUUUUGUGGUGAAAUCGGGGUGUAGAGUUUCCACAGC
Gorilla gorilla gorilla (western lowland gorilla) is the source of this 712-nucleotide long non-coding RNA. RefSeq lists it as uncharacterized. Lineage: Eukaryota; Metazoa; Chordata; Mammalia; Primates; Hominidae. The transcript has 5 exons. The record is from RefSeq and is a predicted model, not a curated record.